Long non-coding RNA from Caretta caretta (loggerhead turtle), 2628 nucleotides. RefSeq lists it as uncharacterized. NCBI's taxonomy places the organism in Eukaryota, Metazoa, Chordata, Testudines, Cheloniidae. The record is from RefSeq and is a predicted model, not a curated record.
AGCUGUAGCUCACGAAAGCUCAUGCUCAAAUAAAUUGGUUAGUCUCUAAGGUGCCACAAGUACUCCUUUUCUUUUUGCGAAUACAGACUAACACGGCUGUUACUCUGAAACCUGUUUUUAUUUGGUUUUGAGAAUGAUAUAACGAUGUAGAGGUAACGUGAAACAGGUCUGAUGUGACAUUUUAUAAACAAACUGGGCACAAGUGAGAAAUGUGAAAGCUGAGAUGUGGUUGUUAUGACAACCAAAUUAGAAGCAGUUCUUAUUGGACAUAAGUGAAGUGAUAACAUGAAAGUUAUUUUCAUUCUUUAAAGAAAAAGGUCAUAGUUGUACAGCGUAGCAUUUUACUCUGGCUGUUUUUUCAAAAUCCCACUAUUAAUAAGAGUAAUGCCAUUGGAUAUCCUACAUACAUUCAGCUAGAAUUGUUAAGAAAAGAUUGAAAGAACACGAAUACCAGGACAGUGUUUUCUGUAUAUAAGGAAGGCAAAUAUUAUUCUUAUUUUAAGGAUAAAGAAAUGAAGGUUCAGACAGGCCAAAUGAUUCACCCAGUUUCAUUCAGGACAUCUGUAAAAGAGCUAAGAAGAACUCAGAAGCCCUGUCCAUCCUCCCUUGGCUGCAGUAUUUUAAACAAUGCCCAGAAGAUGGACAUUAGCAGCUGUCUGGAACAAUACAGCAUUGCAUUUAAAUAAAUUUAAAAUAAUAGUAUUUGAUGGACUUGAUAAGAAUUGCUGUUCCAUUUUCUAUUUAAACAUUCCAUGAGUAGUUAAGUACUUUCCUUACUUACUUACUUUUUUCAUUAGUUAUGUAGAGAGCAUGGAAGAACAAACAGCACUUUGAAAAAUGUCACAGUAUAUAAAUAGCACUUCUGAGAACAUUAGUAAAGUUCUACUGAACUGCAAAACCAACAAGUUAGUGGUGAACUGUGAAGAUGCAGGCAAGAGAAGAACAUGUGAAAAUCAAGGCAAAAGGGCGAUCAAAUUACUUCUGUAAAGAACUGCAAUGUUGCAGUUCAUGAAAUUUUACCAUGACUUUAUUGCGAGGCUGAAUAUUUUUCGUAAAACCCCAGCUCCUGUCAUUAAAUGAUUUUGUGAGAAUCUCAGUUUUCUCUUUUUCAUUUUAGCCCACUUGGUUGUGAAGAAAAGCUUGAAAGUGUGAUCUGAGUGAGUCUCAGAAAAUUAAAAAGAACUCCCAAGUUUUUUUUUUUAAAGUAUGAUUUUUCAAGCCCAUAAUCUCAUGAUUUUUUUGAGGCUUUAAUGAUUUCUGAAUGCUUGAGGUUGGCAUAUUGGAACUGUAAACCUCAUAAGAAAUAGCACUAGUCUCACUUCAUCUCUCUGGACCCAAUGAAUUUCUUUGAUGACAAAAGGAAGUAUCUCAUCAGAAGUGAAGGAAAAACAUGGCAGCCACGGCCCAGCUGUAUUAUUCACCAUUGAUAUUUGAUAAAUUGAGGAUUGUGUUUAACUAAAACCUCCAGACUUUGCAUGUAAAUAGUUUUCAUUGAGUAGUAGGCUCUACGUAUGUGUGGAAAGUAAAUAUAAAGUUAUUAAAAUGAAUGAGAAAUCACUACUGAGUAUGCUGAGAGGGGCAUCUGCUGAGGUUUACAGCAGAACGUAAAGAAGAUCUGCCCCCUAUGAGAUCUCUCAAUGCAAAGCUUUCCUGACAGGCCCAAGAGCUGCCACUAGGACAGCUUACAGGAAGAGAAUUUGAAGAGUCUCAGGAAGUACAUCACCACAGUGCUCCAAAACAAUGCAAAUUAUGUAUCUUUCCUGCUGUUGAAAAUGCACCUUCUAAUCAUCAGACCCCUUUAAAGUGUUUCAUGUUGAACAUCCAAAAACUGAGGUAUACAAAGCUACUAGUCACUUUUUAAAAUCUUGGCCUGUAUAGUUAAAAACAUAUAUUGAGCCCUGUCUCUUAUCCCUGAACACUUUAUAGAAAUGGCAAUGUAUUGCCUGAAACUCAAAGCUCCUUCCCUUCAAGCAAUAAUUAUCCUGUGAAUCUUCAGCACUCCACUUGUACUGUGAGGGUUGAUAGUCCCCAGCCCUCUGUGUGACAGUCCUAUUUCACUCCUGGUACUUUGCAGCCUUCCAUUCUUGCAGAAUUCAGAACAGUAGAGUGCAUGUUACACCUGAGAAUACAGCAAAACAUCUGGUUUCAUAGUGUUUCUAUUAUUCUCCUAGAGCAGCACAAAUUUCCUGUCUUUUUUUCUCCAUAGUGUGUUUCACUGUCUUUCUAUUACACUGUGUUCCUUCUCUGUGGAAACAACAGACAGUGUAAAACAGUCUAGAAGACUUUUAGGACAAAGUUACAAUGGGUUCUUAUGCUAUAAAGCAAGUAUAGCUUUAAACUAUAGUGGCAGUGAUGUUAUCAGUAAGGUCACAUAACAGUUUCCAUCCUAAACCUGUUUUAAGCCACUCAGAACUUGUGAAAUUUACUUUUCAUGCUAAAAAAUUUCAAGCUUGGAAUUUGCCCUAAAAUGAAUUAUUGAGAAAAAUUUGAACAAAAACCAAUCAUUUGCAUAUGAGCAUAAUUUCAAUACAUAUUUCCUAUUAAAAAAGUAUUUACAGUAAUUUUUGGACAGAUCUACUGUCAAAACAGCUAGGGAUAGAAAGUUAAAAUUGAAAAUUAAAAUAUAUC